This 4303-nucleotide long non-coding RNA is filed under the name Salvia miltiorrhiza (redroot sage). RNAcentral describes it as "long non-coding RNA (SMIL_LNC002846)". The record is from RNAcentral. Lineage: Eukaryota; Viridiplantae; Streptophyta; Magnoliopsida; Lamiales; Lamiaceae.
UUUGUUCAAGAGGAAGAAUAUAUCACAAGAAACUCGCCCAAGUGCCUUAAGGCCUUUUGAGUGUUCAUUUACAUAUUUCCAUAUCAAAAUUAUAUAAUAUUUUUGAUUAGGGCUACAUUGUCUUUGUUUGUUGAUCAGUAUUAUGAGCUCCAUAGUAGGUGAGAAUUGGGAGCACGUGGAGAGCCAAGACUGGUCGGAGUUGUCGCCACGAAAUCACAAUAUUCUAAUGUCAUUGCUGGAUGAAACGCAGAUCGACGAGUGUGAUGAUGAAAGACUAACAAAAGUGAUCCAGUCUUUACAAGAUGAACUCGAUGAUUGUGCAUGGGAGAGUAGCCAAUCAUCUAUUGAUGAGUUGUAUCCGUCGAUGGCUGCCGUUGAUGUUGAUCUUCAAUGGAUCGAUGUAGAGAUGAUGCCUAUGAUUCAUGAAGGUGGUGUGUUUGAUCAAGAACAAAUCCUCUCUUCUUUGAGUAUGCAUGAAUAGCUAAUUACAUGUAGAUUCCUAAAUUAUAUGAACAAUAAGUUUCUCAAGAUGUUAUGUUAUGAGAAGUCACCUCAGUUGACUGGCGACUGUCGUUUUAGUUGAGUACUUUAGUUCUAAUUAAACUCAAUAUUUGAUAAAGCUAAUGGUACUUUUACAUCCAAUUCUCAAGAAAGAACCAAGUAAUUUACAAAGAUCGUAACUUUAUCGAGUCUCGGAACUAGUACAUGCAUACACUUCCCAAUAUAUAAUAUUAAAUUGUCACCAUUCACCAGAUUAUUGAUGCAUCAUUUUUCACCAAAAAUGAUUUCGAUUAAUAAACUCAAUAAUUGGGCUGCCACGUACUAGUACAUGAUUAUAUUGUGCUGCCAACUAAAAAAAUAAAUAUGGUCAUUCCAAUUUCGAGAUGGGCCUUUAGAUUAAUCUUUUGUUUAGACUUUAAUUAGUUUGCUUAAUCGAAAAUUAGAUUUAAUUGUCUUAAUUGGGCCUUUAGAUUUAAUCUUUUGUUUAGACUUUAAUUCUAUUCAUAGCCCCAUUCUAUUCUACAUAGCCUCCUUAUUUAAAAAAAUAUUUUUAUUAUUUAAUAAUUUACUAUUUUAUCUUUAAUUUAAAAAACAAUUUACUAACAUAGUCUUGCCCAUAUCUUCGUCUCUCUCCGCCAGCAGCCCCUUAGCAAGGGGCAGGUCUGCAACGCCAAGAAGACUCUCUCCUCCAUGGCUUUCGACGACAUCAACAUCAAAUUUCCCAACCCAAUACAUCACACAAAUCUCAAUUCAACGACAUAAGUUGUGAAUCAAUCAAGAGUGCCGAAGGCAGGGGAGCCGGCGAUGUGAAAAAAUCGACACCAAAAUCCAUGAAUGGUGGCGCUCCAGUUUUCGGUGGGGCACAUCACCUUCUUGAGUACCUUUGUAUUGAUUUUUUGUGAUUUCUUUAUUUUGUAAUUUUUUGGAUAAGAUGGGUUAUUGUUGUAUGAUUGUAUCAAAAUAAAGGGAAGCAGAGAGAGAAAUAAAAGGAAGGGAUGGGAUAAUUUUCAUCUAUGAUUCAUUACUGUUCAACGAAGCUCUAAAUACCCAAAAUUGGGGGACCACUACAAGGCAGAUGGCUUCAUGAGAAUUAAAAGCAUAAUUUGACCAAACAAAUGGGAGGCGGUAAAUAAUCAUUUACAUCUAACUUGAAUGAGUAUCAAUUACUCCAUUAGUAGCAUUCUUCCUCCAUUUUCAGUCAAAAGCUUCUCCUUCUUCCUUGCGAACCCAAGCCUGCCUUCAAUCAUUUUCACUAAUUACCUCCGAGACCGUGACAACCUUGUUGCCGAGGUAAUAUUCAUUCACAAUCUCAUCGAGUUUAACGCAUUAAUUGAUUGUCGGAGAAGCAUGUUGGCGCCGUCGCCUCCGACAGAGACUACUACAUGAGCCGCAUCCGAUCACUGUCGGGGUCAGUGGUGAAGUCAUGAUCGGCGGCAAAGAAGGCAAGCGAUGUCGACGAGCGUCACAAUGCAAUGUAUUAAUAUUCUUAAUCGGAGGCUAUGAGGAUAGGAUAGUAAAUUAUUAAAUAAUUUUAAUAUUUUUUUAAAUAAGAUGGCUAUGAAGAGUAAAUUGGGGGCUAUGAAUAUGAUUACCCUUAUCUUAAUUGUGAAUUAGUUUAGAUAUGGAUUUAUUAAUUACUAAGUGGAUUAGAAUAUACUAAGUCGAAUUUAUUAAUUCGAAUUAUUAAUCCAACUCAGUAGUUGAGCAUUUAAUUUAAUUUUAGGAUAAUAAUACUCGAUAAAUAGAAUACACAUAAAUCACACGCUACUCAUUAAUUGAGAAACUAUCUUUUGUUUCGGACGUUUUAUAUUUUAUUCUUGUAGUAAAGGACAAGCGUGGAAGUGAAUACUAGAAGUGAAAUAUAACUUGUGUACGUGUUAGCAAACACUUGCAAAUUAAGUAGGUUUUCUAUGUAUAAAAUAAAAUAUUUUUCUAGAACUAUUAAAGUUUUUCCUGCUUCAAUAAUGUGAACAAAAAUUUCAAAUGAUUGUCAAUACUUAAAUGUUUUCGCUUUGUUAUUAAUGCCUAUCUAAUGUUAAAUGAAUUCAAAUUUCGAGCAGGCAAGUAAUCCCGCCGAAAUUAAUGUACACCCUGUGGUCGUAUGUAAUCUAGAGGGUUGGCCGACCACUGUGUCCGUUAAGGGAGGCCUCCCUCACAUCAUGAUGCCUACUUAUAUGGUCAUUAAUGAUGCAAAAAUGCAUGCAUGUUAUUUAUAUAUAGAAACGAAAAUGUUUAGUAAGCACGAACUUUUGAAAGAAAACUCCUGUAGCUUGCAAAUGCAUUGGCUUGACAAUAAAAUGAUAAGGUUGUAUAUUAGAUUUGACAAUUCUAUUAAGUACUCUCGUACUUAAUUAGCCCUGUAUAUAUUUAUAAGCGUUAAUUGCCGGUAAAUCCCUGACAACUUUGUUGGAUUUGUAUACUGAAAGCAAGAACGUUUUAUGCUUGUAUACAAUGUUUCCUAAGUUCACUAUCUAAUCUCCUAUCUGAUUGUAUUCAUGAUUGCAUAUGUAUGUUCUUUAUCUCUAUAUAAGUAGAUUAUAUGGUGUGUUGUAGAUCACAGAAGACCAUAUAAUUGGAAUAACCUUAAGACAUAUAAUAUGAUCACAGCCGAAAUAACUCUAGGACAAGUUAUUGGUUUAGGCUGCAGUAUAGAUGGAAGUAGUUUGUCUUGGCUACUUGUCUAUACUGGUACGUCAUUACGUAUUGAUAGGACCACAGUUUGAGAUGUAUUCUUCUAUCUGACUUAAGUGAAGAAUCAAGAUCUCGGUGACUUAUAAAUCUUAAUACUAAUAAGUAUUCAGAUAUAUAUAUUAAUUCGUAUAUCACUUUGACUUACUAUGGGUGAAAGUUAUAUACUAACUCGAGUACUCUGUAUCUUGGGUGAUAGCGGUUAAUAUAUGAUAUUUGAUUAUCUGUAUUAGUACCCGUAUCCGGUAUAGGAUAAUGACAUCCCCUUAAGGAGCUCAAUAAGGUUUAUUACGCUAAACCCUGCAGGUUGAUUAAGUUCAGGCGUAAUAAUAAAGUUUGAGUGGUACUGCUUAAGGAAUNUAUAACUUGUGUACGUGUUAGCAAACACUUGCAAAUUAAGUAGGUUUUUUCUAUGUAUAAAAUAAAAUAUUUUUGUAGAACUAUUAAAGUUUUUCCUGCUUCAAUAAUGUGAACAGAAAUUUCAAAUGAUUGUCAAUACUUAAAUGUUUUCGCUUUGUUAUUAAUGCCUAUCUAAUGUUAAAUGAAAUUCAAAUUUCGAGCAGGCAAGUAAUCCCGCCGAAAUUAAUGUACACCCGGUGGUCGUAUGUAAUCUAGAGGGUUGGCCGACCACUGUGUCCGUUAAGGGAGGCCUCCCUCACAUCAUGAUGCCUACUUAUAUGGUCAUUAAUGAUGCAAAAAUGCAUGCAUGUUAUUUAUAUAUACAAACGAAAAUGUUUAGUAAGCACGAACUUUUGAAAGAAAACUCCUGUAGCUUGCAAAUGCUUUGGCUUGACAAUAAAAUGAUAAGGUUGUAUAUUAGAUUUUGGCAAUUCUAUUAAGUACUCUCGUACUUAGCCCUGUAUAUAUUUAUAAAUGUGCAGGUUGAACUGUGUGAUGAAUGAUGGAGUGUUGCUGAGUGGAGCUUUUGUCAAACUUAGAAAAGGCUAAGAGAUGAUAUAUGUCUUCACACAUAUAACCCAAUAAUAUUAUAUCUUUUGCUGUAAACACUUAUUAUGUUUUAGUUAAAUUUAUAACUAUAUCAAAUACCCUUCAUGCAUUACUUAACGCUUAAGUUUGGUACGUCAUGUAUCCUUUUGAUUCCUAUGCAUCGACC